GCGCAGCAGUCGAGAAUUUUUCUCAAUGGGGGCAACCCUGAAGGAGCGACGCCGCGUGGAGGAUGAAGGCUUUCGGGUCGUAAACUCCUGUCAUUUGAGAACAAGUGGCCGAACAUAACUACUUCGGCCUUGAUAGUAUCAGAAGAGGAAGGGACGGCUAACUCUGUGCCAGCAGCCGCGGUAAUACAGAGGUCCCAAGCGUUGUUCGGAUUCAUUGGGCGUAAAGGGUGCGUAGGUGGCGCCGUCAGUGGGGUGUGAAAUUCCGGAGCUUAACUCCGAAACUGCAUUCCAUACUGCGGUGCUUGAGGACUGGAGAGGAGACUGGAAUUUACGGUGUAGCAGUGAAAUGCGUAGAGAUCGUAAGGAAGACCAGUGGCGAAGGCGGGUCUCUGGACAGUUCCUGACACUGAGGCACGAAGGCUAGGGGAGCGAACGGGAUUAGAUACCCGUGUAGU
This 455-nucleotide ribosomal RNA is filed under the name uncultured organism. RNAcentral's name for it is "bacterial SSU rRNA". It matches the Rfam family "Bacterial small subunit ribosomal RNA", at positions 346 to 794 of the family's 1533-position model. The record is from RNAcentral.